AGCAGCCGCGGUAAUUCCAGCUCCAAUAGCGUAUAUUAAAGUUGUUGCAGUUAAAAAGCCGUAGUUGAAUUUCGGGAUUCAUACGUUGGUCGGGCUUUUUGGUCUGUACUUAUGUAAUGAUUCCUACCUUCUGAAUAACCGGCAUGCCAUUAAUUUGGUGCGCCGGGGAAGCAGGACGUUACCUUGAAAAAAUUAGAGUGCUUAAAGCAGGCUAUCGCCUGAAUACAUUA
Molecule: ribosomal RNA, 230 nt
Filed under: uncultured Glomeromycotina
Lineage: Eukaryota; Fungi; Glomeromycota
Description: partial small subunit ribosomal RNA
Rfam family: Eukaryotic small subunit ribosomal RNA
Source: RNAcentral